GGCCCACAACUGUGACAUGAGAGGCACAGGUGGAGAGUUCCCUGCGCCGGGCCUCCGAGUUGUGGCUCCUCAGGGAGUGCAGGAUGAUCAGGUAGGAAGCUAUCCGCACCGAGAAGCUGACCACAGAGAUGGAGCCGCCAUCAUCCGGCGGAAAGAGGAAAAUUACUUUCCACUUGAUAAAAGAGUCGAAGAUAAGCUUGGGGGCCAGGACAGAACAGUAACAGAUCUCCACAAAGGAUACGUAGCUGAGCAAGAAAUACAUGGGGGAGCUCCCCACCAUGCUCCUCUGUGUACCCAGCUGAUCCUUCUGCCAUAUACCAAUCUUUCACACACCGGAUGUUUAUACAGAAGGCAGGAAUCUUACGUGGGCAGGUUUCAUCCUCACGGGAACAAUGACUCUAUCACUAGGUAUCCUAUCACAGAGAAGUCAGACGCAGAAGCCUCCCUCCAUCCUAGUUUCCUAUGCAGAGUAAUCAUAAGCUGUCAAAUUUGGAAGGGGCUCAUGGAUUCUUCAUGUUACAGAAGAGGAAUCUGGGGCCCAGAGUCACACAGCUGGUUGGUGCAUAGCCUGAACUAGAACUAUGCGUCUCAGUUUCCCAUUCAACACUUACUUUAAAGAUCAUGAAAUCCAUUGACUCUUCCACCUGGUGCUCACCAAAAUCCAGCUUCCAGAAUGGAGUAAUAACAUGGACAGGGAAGAUAAUCAUGUUUACAACAAAGGCAAAGCCAAGUGGAAGAGUAAAAUCUUAAAAAAAAAAAAAAUGGCAGGAAGAAAGAAAAUUUACAAAAAUGUGGUCCUCAUUGUUCAGCUCCUACUUAUAAGUGAGAACAUGCAGUGUUUGCUUUUCUGUUCCUGUGUUAGUUUGCUGAGGAUAAUGGCUUCCAGCUCCAUUUAUGUCCCUGCAAAGAACAUGAUCUCAUUCCUUUUUCUGGCUGCAUAGUAUUCCAUGGUGUGUAUGUACCACAUUUUCUUUAUCCAGUCUAUUAUUGAUGGGUAUUGGGCAUUUGGGUUGAUUCUAUGUCUUUCCUUUUGUGAAUAGUGCUGUGAUGAACAUAUGUGUGCAUGUAUCUUUAUAAUAGAAUGAUUUCUAUUCAUUUGGGUAUAUACCCAGUGGUGGGAUUGCUGGGUCAAAUAGUAUUUCUGCUUCUAGGUCUUUGAUGAGUUAAUAGGUGCAGCAAACCACAAUGGCACACAUUUACCUGUGUAAGAAAUCUGCGUGUCCU
RNAcentral lists this long non-coding RNA (1224 nucleotides) under Macaca fascicularis (crab-eating macaque). RNAcentral describes it as "lncRNA (ENSMFAG00000051404.1)". Lineage: Eukaryota; Metazoa; Chordata; Mammalia; Primates; Cercopithecidae. The record is from RNAcentral.